UUUAUUUUUUUGAGCAGUGUAUUGGUAAACAUGUGUCUCAGGAUCACCUGCUCAAAGGUUUGUAGUAUGUGAUAUAAGACCCCAGAAGCCUUGAAGUCUUUGCAGGAGAUCAGCCGCAUGGAAAGAGAUAAAGUGUACUUAAUUAUUCAGCUCUUAAUCUGUCCCUUCAUGGCCCCAGGGGAAAAGGUAACGCUCAGACUGUAAGUAGGACCUUAAGUGAUCAAUCAUCAACGUGACACGAAGAGUCAGACAUUACUUUAUAAGAAAAAAUGUUAUUAAGAUUUGCUAUAUGUCAGAGUCACAUUGACCAGACUGAAAUUAAAACUGCUUUUAUUAGAGGCUAUGGUUUUAGAAGAAAACAUAAGCUGUGCACUUUUUGAAUAUUUUCACACAUGGUUUUAUGUUUUUGGACAUAGAGCCACAGUGAGAUUGAAUAAAUGUGAAAUGACUGGAAGCUGUAUAGACAGUCGUGCAGUGCCAUCGUAGAAGCACUUUCACUGCCUUGCAAUGGGAUUUUAAUGCUGUACAGACUGCGAGGUAGCAAAUGAUUGAGUUUUACAAACAAAAGAAAUCAGUAAAAGUCUGUUUGUGUUCAUCUUCCUUUACAAUGAUAAAUAAAAGUCAGCACUACUAACUGUCUUCAGAAGUCACAGAGUCAUGAAAACACCAGAUUGUUGGGCAAUGAGACAAUUUCCCAAGCAAUGAACAUAUAUUGGCUUUUCAGUUCAUCCACAACCUGCAGAGUUUGGCUCUCCACCAGCCUGGCCUUUAUGGCAGAGUGCCAAGAAGAGAGACACUUGACAGAGAGUCACUGCUGGUCCUGUUCCACAAGCCAUGUGAGGACAAAGUAAGCAGGUGGAAGAAGUUGUUCUCUUAAGAUCCUGUCUGCAGAACUCUAUUUGUGGUGGAAUAUUCCAUAUAUAUCACCACAAACAGACUGUUCCCUACCACAAAAACUGAUGGUGGAAGUAUUUUGCUGACGGAGUGUUAAAAAACAGGGAAACUCCAUGUAGAACCUGCUGCUAAUGAGCGUCACCAUCCAGCAGAUGACCCUGAUCAUUUUGCCAAGUAUGUAGUGAAAUAAUCCUUUAACUGCUGACUUAAAAAUUUCUCUUCGCAAAUGUUCAUUCAACUUGACGCAAGUUCGGAAGGAAGGAUGUUAUUCUGUAGUUAUUUGGAAAAUAACUCGUUACAUGUAGCUGUGCUAUACAUUGUAAUUUACUGGGGGUUUUUUUCCAAUUCUUUCAGAGCAUUUCUCUGAUUAGAAUUAAAGUUAUUAUAGUUGCUGGUUCAACCUCCACAACACUUAGUGAUUUGUGACCAUCAUAGUAACGGUUUCACAUUUCUUCCAACAAAUUGCAAACCCUUUAGGAUACAUGCGUCAAUUGCUUCCAUUCUUUUCUGCUUUAUUGUAACAUUACCAUUUUCUCGCGUCAGUCGAAUGAACUGUACUCAGGACUGUUAAAUGGUCAUUCUCUACAAACUUAAUGGCUCUCAUUUUGCUGCUUGAGUCGUUACAAACAAAAGAAUGUCGAGCAGGUUGUCAGAAUCUGUCAUGCAAAUGUUCCCAACCCAGACAUAAUCUGAAACACCUGCGGUUUAAAUUCCAGCUAACAGUGUUUCUUGCAUAAACGCAAAUUCAUGCGCCACUUUGGAGAUUUGAUUUUGUGAAAGACAAAGACAAAGACUUUUGCUACUUUAUAUUGAUGGGAUGUUUUGUGAUGAUCUAUCACAUCAAAAUGUGUGGCUAUAAAGUUAGAAAUGAUGAAAACUGUAAAUUAGUAUGAAUACUUGUGCGAGGCAGGCACUGUGCUUUGUUUACGGAGUGCCGUUUCGAUGAGCAAGGUGGCAAACUUUCACAUGUCAGGACACAUUAGGGUAUUAGAAAGCAGAGAGGGGAGGGGAGUAUAUAAGAUAAUCACAUUGCAGAAUGCAUGCGCAUAAGAAGCUGACCAGAGACACAUCACCAUGAGAUUGGAUGACGACAUCACCUGCCUGGAAGGCUUUGCCACAGACAUCACAGUGAUCUGUCUGUAGGAAGCUUACUGGGACGUGGAGCUCAGCGACUUGACUCAAUAUGGAAUUAUCCUCAUGUCAUCGUGCAACCUGUUCUCCAGAUACUCCCUGCUCUUCUCUGUCUAAUGAGUUAACUCAAAUUGUGUUUGUUGAUGUAAUGCUUAAGAACACUUUCUCAGAAAAAUUUAAAAUAUGAGUUAAAAGUCAUUUCAAACAUAUUGAGUUUUAUAAACUUCCCUGAAUUCUCAAUCGCUCGCAUACUUUGCACUUCCCAUGUGUUUCCAUACAUCUGCUUUUUUUUUUUUUUUUACAUUUCUUUAUUGAGAAUGACAAUGCAAUUAAAUUAGAUUUUAAUUUGACUUGGUUUCAACGUUGAUAUGUAUUUUAACACUUCAUAUGAAAUUUAAAGGUGCGUUUACUUUUUAAAAGUGCAAAUUAUCGUUUUUGUUUUAAUCUGAUGCUGUGGGUGUAACUUUUGUGUUUGAGCUCGGUUUGUUCACAAAUACAUCUCAGAAAAUAACCUAUUAUUUCUUAUCCAACCUUGCUGUACCCACAUAAAUAAAUGACUAAAACACCAACCAAACUGGAACCAGUUGGAAUGGUGAAGAGCUAAGCAGGAGCAUAGUCAUCCUCAUAGGCAGCCAUUUUGAAUUCACAAGAUGAAAAGGAAAUGGUAAGAUGAUACAGUAUAAUAAUUGUAGUUGGAGUGGAUUAAUGGAUUUAGUUCACACUAGGGAGGUUCAUACCUACUAUAUACCAAGACUAAGCUAGUGCUGGCUGUGGUCAAUAUUCUCAUGAUUACCAAAUAAUUGGUUCUAAAGUCAAUAAAGUCUAUGUAACAAUCUGUUUCUGGCGUUUUUCUUGUGAUUGUGUUCCGGCAUUCAACCUCUGUACAUUUUAUGCAACUUUAACUUUUUAUCCCACAUUGCAUAGUGACCAUGACUUUUGUUAUUGAAAUUUUACUGAUAAAAAUCAUUAGACAUUAUAAAGCCUUAUGAAUUUGUGCUGUUGAAAUCAAAAAUAAUUGCACCCGAUUAGUAUUUCAAGUAGUGUGGUAAUUUGACAAUUAAAUUUUCGGUAUCAAUGCAAGAACCUAAAAAAAAAUUCUGCAAAACUGUCUUAUCCAUGUGUAGAUAUGGGCUGGUAUUUAAAAACAUUCCUUUCCUUUACAUUUACAAUUAAAGACUUACUUAAACAACUGUGUAUAGCAGCAGGUAAAAUGGGAAUUAUUUCAUUUCUUUUCUGCUACAUUGUGUUAAAUUGUAGAUAGAUAAUAAAACACUUAUUUGCCUCA
This is a non-coding RNA of Poecilia reticulata (guppy), 3310 nucleotides long. NCBI's taxonomy places the organism in Eukaryota, Metazoa, Chordata, Actinopteri, Cyprinodontiformes, Poeciliidae. The record is from RefSeq and is a predicted model, not a curated record.